UAGCACAGUAAAAACCGUCGCUAUAGGAUCUAUAGCGACACUUUUGUUGUGAAAAUAACAUUUUCUGUUGUGGAUUUAACAAUUCUCUAUAUUUUAUUCUUUCCAUAUUGGUAUUAUUUCCUUAUUAUAUUUAUUUAUUUAUUACAACACCUCCUAACCUAACGAAUUGCAUGCAAGCAUGCAUAUCAACCAGUAUUCGGACAGGCUUUUCCCUCGGGUCACAAUGUCAAAUUCCAAGGUGUUCAACUAAUAUUGGGCUAUUGGAAAUCACCCUUGCUACUAUUGUGUUUGUGUAGCGGUAGUUAUUAUGAUUUUAAAAUAAUUAAUAAUUUUGGUUGCAGGAUAUAUUAUUCUAUACUAGUAGUAAUUUAUUUGUGCAAACAAAGCAUGUGAGAAUAGAGUCUAAAUUAAUUUUAUUCCAACUAGAAAGAAAGAAAGUACUCCUAUUUGUUAGAUUCACCAACCAAAUGCAACUUCCUACUCUUCACUUUAAUUGAGUGUCAAAUCUUUCAUAUAUUAUUAAAUUAAUAUAUACUGCCUCCACAACACACAAAUUACUUACUUUCAAUAAUUCAUCACUAG
This 582-nucleotide long non-coding RNA is filed under the name Panax ginseng (ginseng). RNAcentral describes it as "long non-coding RNA (PGIN_LNC011604)". Lineage: Eukaryota; Viridiplantae; Streptophyta; Magnoliopsida; Apiales; Araliaceae. The record is from RNAcentral.